RNAcentral lists this ribosomal RNA (512 nucleotides) under uncultured bacterium. RNAcentral's name for it is "bacterial SSU rRNA". It matches the Rfam family "Bacterial small subunit ribosomal RNA", at positions 15 to 518 of the family's 1533-position model. The record is from RNAcentral.
GAUUAUGGCUCAGGAUGAACGCUAGCGAUAGGCUUAACACAUGCAAGUCGAGGGGCAGCACGGUGUAGCAAUACACUGGUGGCGACCGGCGUACGGGUGCGUAACACGUAUGCAACCUACCCGCUAUUGGGGGAUAACCCGGCGAAAGUCGGACUAAUACCCCAUAUUAUUCUUACCGGGCAUCCGGUAGGUCUGAAAGAUUUAUCGAUUGCGGAUGGGCAUGCGGAUGAUUAGCUAGUAGGUGGGGUAACGGCUCACCUAGGCGACGAUCAUUAGGGGUUCUGAGAGGAAGGUCCCCCCACACUGGAACUGAGACACGGUCCAGACUCCUACGGGAGGCAGCAGUGAGGAAUAUUGGUCAAUGGGCGCUAGCCUGAACCAGCCAAGUCGCGUGAAGGGUGACAAGAUCUAUGGUUUGUAAACUUCUUUUGCAGGGGAGUAAAGUGCGACACGUGUGUUGUAUUGCAAGUACCCUGCGAAUAAGCAUCGGCUAACUCCGUGCCAGCCGCAGC